Molecule: unclassified non-coding RNA, 404 nt
Filed under: soil metagenome
Description: partial contains 5.8S ribosomal RNA, internal transcribed spacer 2, and large subunit ribosomal RNA
Rfam family: 5.8S ribosomal RNA (bases 1-121)
Source: RNAcentral
GAUGAAGAACGUAGUGAAAUGCGAUAAGUAGUGUGAAUUGCAGAUGUAACGUGAAUCAUCGAAUCUUUGAACGCAAAUUGCACUCUCUGGUAUUCCGGGGAGUAUGCCUGUUUGAGGGUCGCCAAAUCAACAUCGAAAUUCAUUUGCUUUUGUAAAUGUUUAUCGGAUUUGAGCCGUCUUUUUAUAUUCUUUUAAAGUGGCUUAAAAUGUAUUUUUUGGUAUCGAAAAACGUUAUUUUACGAUCAAAAUUGAUUAAAAAACAAACGUUUCGAAUGCCAUCUUUUAAUGUAAUACGUUUGACUGUGGUGUUAAUCAUAGUUUUCAUUCGUAUACGAUUUUUUAAUUUUUGACCUCAAAUCAGGUAAGAACACCCGCUGAACUUAAGCAUAUCAAUAAGCGGAGGA